Molecule: long non-coding RNA, 3204 nt
Filed under: Coffea arabica (coffee)
Lineage: Eukaryota; Viridiplantae; Streptophyta; Magnoliopsida; Gentianales; Rubiaceae
Description: long non-coding RNA (CARA_LNC007928)
Source: RNAcentral
AAAACUUCAACCGUGAUAGGAUACUAGAUAAUUUACAAUCACAAAAGACUUCAUGUUAACUCCCUAAACUCUCUCAUUCGUUUCUCGACUACCAACUUCUGUAAAAAAAAUAAACUACAAGGUUGAGCUAAAACUCAGUGAGAUUUGCCGAACAAGUAACAUUCAAUAAACACUUAAAUCAGUACAAUUAAGUAAGUAGUGCAUAUUUCACUGUAUAAUCACUUUAAAAAGGAUACAAACUCCUCCUGGGAGUCAUUUCAAUAUCACUGUACAUUCAUUUCAGUGUCGCGAUACAUUUAUUUCAAUAUCAUUGCACACUUCGCCAAUUCACCCCCUUAUGUCCUCCAAAACAAUAAACAAUCUCCCAUAUACAAUAAUCAGUGCAAUAAUCUCUCAACUUCAGGGUAAUACUCGAGUAUACCGAAACAGUUACCCAAAUCGUCCGUCCUAUCCGACCAAACCCUUUGCUGGCUCGAAUAGUCCGUUGAACAGAGAGUUUUGGGGUCCAGUUCAGUCGAUGUGGUAAAGUACACAUACAGCUUACAUUCAUGCACACUUACAGUAAUAUUUGGUCAAUUAUCAACCUUCAAACUCAAAUAAGCCGAGGGCCUAAAAAUUACACCCCCGACUUAGAAGGCGAGAGAUAAUUGGGAUACACUUUACAAUGAAUCACUAGCAAUAUUUCAUAAUAAGCACAUUUAUCGCAUAAUUUCACUUACAUAUAUAUAAGCAGUUAAAUACACAAAUUCGAAACACUCACAAAAUACCCAAAUAGAUUACUCUCGAGUCUCGAAUUUGUUUCCUGACUCACAGCUACUUCCUGAGAAAAGUUCAUAAUUCCAAAGUAAAUAUAUAAUUUAUAGAUGUUCACCUAUUAUUUAUUAUCCUAUUAUUUAAAUUAUUAGAAUCAAGUUUGUCUUUAAAAUAUAAAAUAUAAUUUAUUCAAUAUUUAUUCUACAUUUCAUUUUGAGACUUAUUGACUUUAUCAUUUUAAACCAAGAAAUAUACGUAUUUUCCAAGUUUAUAAUUUAUAAAAUAUUUAAAUUAGGAUUAAACUAUUUUCUACUCACGAUUCUAAGAUUAAAGUUUAGGAAUACUCCAUUGGUUCCCUUUUAAAUUAAUUAAACUCUAGGUUGUUUGUAAAUUAAAUUUUGUUUCACGAUACCAGCCACCCUUAGGUUCUAGGGUCUUUAAAAUGUUCUUGAAAACAAGAUUAAGUGAUUAGCAACCGUCUUAUGUAUCUAAUUGUAAUAAGUUGCCUUAAGGUUUCCAAAUAUUACAGGAGUUCACUUCAUUACUAUAUUAGCUGUUAAAUCAAGUUCUAGCAAUAUACUUCAUAAUUUUCAUCAAUAUUUCAUCUUCUACUUGGUAAAAUAUUAAUCACUCAGUAUUUACCCUGUCCCUGCUGAAGUUGAAUCAAAUAACGUGUACUAUUUACGCAUAAACCCAACAAAACAACAUUAAGUUCCAUUUUUAGAUAAAUGUAACUUCCUAGCAAUAUACAUAGUCCAGCAUUCAUUGUUUCCCUUAAAUCCUUCCUUUUAAUCUCAUGUCCCAACUAGACAAGUUAAUUACAUUUAUUAAGCUACAAAGUAGCCUUAUACAGAACGUGGAAAGUUUUGCAGCUAACUUAGAGGAAAAGACUGAUCAACUCUUCCUUCUUUCUCUCGGCCAUAAGGUAAUUCAGCAGCACAUUUCAUAGUUUUCCUCUCAUUUGCCUUAGUUUAACUCUACUCACAGAACUAGUCAUAGUCACUAAAUCACAGAGCAACCUUAGUUCUACCUGUGGAAGUUCACAGAGCCAGAAAUUAAAAGAAAGGCUGCUCUAAAAGCUUAUUUCCUUCCCCCUUUUUUUUUAUCAUAGCAGAUUGUACCAGCUUCCUUUUAUCAAAUUUUAGUUAAGCUUCCUGAAGUUUUCAUAUUUCCAAGGCACCUAUCUUUUAAGGUAAAGGAUUAACAUGUCUUCCAUGUAUUCAUUAAUAAGGAUUUCAGAAUCAGUAACAACAGGUCAUGUAACCUGCUUAAUUCCCUCAGACAACCAACCUGCAAUCAGUCGAAUGCACUUGUCCUACUAUGUUCACUUUAGUUUCUACUUGUUUUGGUCUUGCUUGUUGAAGUUUACGGUCUGCAUGACAUUUUACAUUUACUACACAGGUUUAAGAGCUAAAGUUUAUAGAGGACAACCAAAGUGUCCUUCUUUUCUCUUUCGGUUGCAGUCACUAAAUUUCCAGCAAAAUCGUAGUCUAUCAGUUGACAUUUUCUUACCUUUUCCUCCUCAAUUUUUGGUCUCAAUCACUCAUGCAGAAGAUACUUAAUUUGCUGCAGGUUAUCCUAAGCUAGACAGGGCAGUUCCUGACCAGAAUUCAGAGAAAAAUUGAAUAAAAUUACAAGGCUGCGCAAGACUGCUACAUCUGGUGCAUAGCAACCUGCACCAUAUUACUUUCAUGCCCACAGUUUCAAUUCUUUCAAGCUCUUACGGUUAAUCCUUCUUUUAUUACUUAAAGUGGACAUAAUUCAUGCAUUCCUAGCUGUAGUUUCCAUUUUUUUCUGAUAACUAGUCACACAAUUAGUACCUAUUUCACGGUUAUAAGUCAGAACUUCCUCUCAGCAAACUAUCGUUUCUAAACAAAAUUUCUCCGGCAACAAAACUUAGUUUUUCUUGGUUAGAUUCAGCAUAGACAACAUUCAAAUUCAAAUAUACCAGAUGAUUAAGAAGUUAUAUACAAAUUUUUCAUCAUUAAUGGACUAAAAUCCAAACAUCAGUUUUCAGUUUCUUCCAAAUCUGUCCAACAGUUUUAUCUCCUUCAAACAAAAUUUCACCUUAGCUAAAAGUCCAUUUCUUUACUAAAUUCUCAUGCAGCUCACAUGUUAAUCUAUUUAUACGGAAUGGACAGAAGAUUAUUGCAAGUUCUUACCUUUUCUCCUAAAGUUUGAUAUUGCAGGCUGUUGAAAUUUUUUGGUCCUGAUUCCUUAAGUCUUAACUCCAAUACCCCCUGCUUCCUUGCGACACCUUCCUUAUCUUUGGUUGUUUGGUGUUGAAGCUAGUUAUGCUCCUGCUCUCACUUUCUCUGUUUCGCUCUUUUUUCUCACUCCCUCUAUUUUUUCUCGAUGUUAGCUUGGUAAGGAGAGGAGCUGAAAUUUUGUUUUGCUCUCUGCCACCGCCCAAGUUUUUGCAGUUGGUUUUCUCUUUUUCCCCACUCGGUC